UCUGAAUGGGCUGAUUGAAAUUA
Molecule: non-coding RNA, 23 nt
Filed under: Cricetulus griseus (Chinese hamster)
Lineage: Eukaryota; Metazoa; Chordata; Mammalia; Rodentia; Cricetidae
Source: RNAcentral